Molecule: small RNA, 311 nt
Filed under: Pogona vitticeps (central bearded dragon)
Lineage: Eukaryota; Metazoa; Chordata; Lepidosauria; Squamata; Agamidae
Description: 7SK RNA (ENSPVIG00000025514.1)
Rfam family: 7SK RNA (bases 1-253)
About the family: 7SK was discovered as an abundant small nuclear RNA in the mid-70s but a possible function has only recently been suggested. Two independent studies have found that 7SK RNA binds the CDK9/cyclin T complex (known as elongation factor P-TEFb). P-TEFb activates transcription by phosphorylating the C-terminal domain of RNA polymerase II.
Source: RNAcentral
GGAUGUGAGGACAAUGUGGCUGUUGCACCUGUCAUCUCAUUGAUCGCCCAGGUUGAUUCAGCUGAUGGGUAUCCACUUCCUCCCACAUAACUCCAUGUGUAUCCCUCCCAAAGCUGCUCACUUGGUAGAAGACUACAACUAUCACAGAUAGAAAGAGUGUAUUGUUUUUCAGUCAAGGGUAUACAUCUUGACUCAGCGUUCCAUUUUCUUCAGGCCUAAGGAUCUUGCAUAAGUCUUCCAAGUGUUACAUUUUUGGAGGAGUCAUAGCACAUACAAGAGAUGGACACAAACCAAAAGCAAUUGUGGUUUGU